This 289-nucleotide unclassified non-coding RNA is filed under the name air metagenome. RNAcentral describes it as "partial contains small subunit ribosomal RNA, internal transcribed spacer 1, and 5.8S ribosomal RNA". The stretch from base 1 to 46 matches the Rfam family "Eukaryotic small subunit ribosomal RNA", at positions 1786 to 1831 of the family's 1831-position model. The record is from RNAcentral.
AAGUCGUAACAAGGUCUCCGUUGGUGAACCAGCGGAGGGAUCAUUACUGAGUCUUCAAACCACUCAAACCCUUGCAAACCUACCUAUGUUGCCUCGGCGGGGGGCCUACUCGGGGUGGUGCCGAAAGGCGUCUACCCUAGAGUGCCUACCCUGGAAACCCACCUGUAGGACAACCUCUGGCGGGCCCAGGCGUCAAACCCGCCCGAAGUACCCUAAACUCUGUUUAAUGUGGCUUAUCUGAGGACUAUUUUAUACGUUAAAACUUUCAACAACGGAUCUCUUGGUUCUG